Arvicanthis niloticus (Nile rat) is the source of this 126-nucleotide small nucleolar RNA. RefSeq annotates it as small nucleolar RNA SNORA11. The record is from RefSeq and is a predicted model, not a curated record. Lineage: Eukaryota; Metazoa; Chordata; Mammalia; Rodentia; Muridae.
GUGGUGCGCUCAGAGCAGGGACAGUGAAAAGUGGCCUCUGUGUUUACAACACGCCCAAUAGGAAUCUGGCACCAUGUAACAAGGAGCGCAACAUUCAUGUCCUCCCUGUGAACCGGUGCCCCACGU